This is a long non-coding RNA of Oxyura jamaicensis (ruddy duck), 151 nucleotides long. RefSeq lists it as uncharacterized. Lineage: Eukaryota; Metazoa; Chordata; Aves; Anseriformes; Anatidae. The transcript is spliced from 3 exons. The record is from RefSeq and is a predicted model, not a curated record.
CUGCCAGGGGACUUUGACCCGGCUCUUACCUCCUCGCCCCGCAGCGCCCCGCACCCCAAACGCUCCUCCAGCCCCGAGGGGCAGCGCUGCGAGCCGGCCACCAGCAUGGCACCGGGACGGGGGCGCGGGCACGGGGCUAGGAGGCUGCCAU